AACGAACGCUGGCGGCGCGCCUAAUACAUGCAAGUCGAGCGAGAAGGUGUAGCAAUACACUUGUAAAGCGGCGAACGGGUGAGGAAUGCAUGGGUAACCUACCCUCGAGUGGGGAAUAACUAGCCGAAAGGUUAGCUAAUACCGCAUACGUUUCCGGAACUUCGGUUUCGGAAAGAAAGCAAUACCGUGGGUAUUGCGCUCCUGGAUGGGCUCAUGUCCUAUCAGCUUGUUGGUGAGGUAACGGCUCACCAAGGCUUCGACGGGUAGCUGGUCUGAGAGGACGAUCAGCCACACUGGCACUGCGACACGGGCCAGACUCCUACGGGAGGCAGCAGUAAGGAAUAUUGCGCAAAUGGACGAAAGUCUGACGCAGCGACGCCGCGU
Molecule: ribosomal RNA, 384 nt
Filed under: uncultured bacterium
Lineage: Bacteria
Description: bacterial SSU rRNA
Rfam family: Bacterial small subunit ribosomal RNA
Source: RNAcentral